GCAAGUCGAACGCGAACGGUUCUUCGGAACUUAUUAGAGUGGCGGACGGGUGAGUAACACGUGGGAACAUGCCUUUCAGUACGGAACAACGCUUGGAAACGAGUGCUAAUACCGUAUACGCCCUUAGGGGGAAAGAUUUAUCGCUGAAAGAUUGGCCCGCGCUAGAUUAGUUAGUUGGUGAGGUAACGGCUCACCAAGACGACGAUCUAUAGCUGGUUUGAGAGGAUGAUC
This 231-nucleotide ribosomal RNA is filed under the name uncultured bacterium. RNAcentral's name for it is "partial 16S ribosomal RNA". It matches the Rfam family "Bacterial small subunit ribosomal RNA", at positions 57 to 305 of the family's 1533-position model. The record is from RNAcentral.